This 71-nucleotide transfer RNA is filed under the name Nemertopsis tetraclitophila. RNAcentral's name for it is "tRNA-Gln". Lineage: Eukaryota; Metazoa; Nemertea; Enopla; Monostilifera; Emplectonematidae. The record is from RNAcentral.
UAUAGAGUGGUGUAUGAGGUGCACGAAAGGUUUUGAUCCUUUAAGAGUUAGUUUAUUUCUAUCCUUUGUAA